Molecule: ribosomal RNA, 376 nt
Filed under: uncultured bacterium
Lineage: Bacteria
Description: bacterial SSU rRNA
Rfam family: Bacterial small subunit ribosomal RNA
Source: RNAcentral
GACGGAGGGUGCAAGCGUUGUUCGGAAUUACUGGGCGUAAAGCGUACGUAGGCGGUGGAUUAAGUCGAAUGUUAAAGCCUGGGGCUCAACCCCAGAGAUGCAUUCGAUACUGGUUCACUAGAGGGUGAUAGAGGAAAGCGGAAUUCCCAGUGUAGCGGUGAAAUGCGUAGAUAUUGGGAGGAACAUCAGUAGCGAAGGCGGCUUUCUGGGUCACACCUGACGCUGAGGUACGAAAGCGUGGGGAGCAAACGGGAUUAGAUACCCCGGUAGUCCACGCCGUAAACGAUGGAUGCUAGGUGUAGCGGGUAUCGACCCCUGCUGUGCCGUAGCCAACGCGUUAAGCAUCCCGCCUGGGGAGUACGCACGCAAGUGUGAA